UAAUGAGAAUGAAAAAAGAGAGGUAAUGGAAUACCUCUCUAAGCAGAGCCGUUAAAAAGAUGGUGGCUAUAAUUAAAUAGAUGAAAUA
This 88-nucleotide small RNA is filed under the name Atopostipes suicloacalis DSM 15692. RNAcentral describes it as "RNA anti-toxin A". It matches the Rfam family "RNA anti-toxin A". Lineage: Bacteria; Bacillati; Bacillota; Bacilli; Lactobacillales; Carnobacteriaceae. The record is from Rfam by way of RNAcentral.